Molecule: ribosomal RNA, 1355 nt
Filed under: uncultured bacterium
Lineage: Bacteria
Description: bacterial SSU rRNA
Rfam family: Bacterial small subunit ribosomal RNA
Source: RNAcentral
CCUGGCUCACAUGAACGCUGGCGGCGCGCCUAACACAUGCAAGUCGAACGAGCGAGAGAGAGCUUGCUUUCUCAAGCGAGUGGCGAACGGGUGAGUAACGCGUGAGGAACCUGCCUCAAAGAGGGGGACAACAGUUGGAAACGACUGCUAAUACCGCAUAAGCCCACGGCUCGGCAUCGAGCAGAGGGAAAAGGAGCAAUCCGCUUUGAGAUGGCCUCGCGUCCGAUUAGCUAGUUGGUGAGGUAACGGCCCACCAAGGCGACGAUCGGUAGCCGGACUGAGAGGUUGAACGGCCACAUUGGGACUGAGACACGGCCCAGACUCCUACGGGAGGCAGCAGUGGGGAAUAUUGCACAAUGGGGGAAACCCUGAUGCAGCGACGCCGCGUGGAGGAAGAAGGUCUUCGGAUUGUAAACUCCUGUUGUUGAGGAAGAUAAUGACGGUACUCAACAAGGAAGUGACGGCUAACUACGUGCCAGCAGCCGCGGUAAAACGUAGGUCACAAGCGUUGUCCGGAAUUACUGGGUGUAAAGGGAGCGCAGGCGGGAAGACAAGUUGGAAGUGAAAUCCAUGGGCUCAACCCAUGAACUGCUUUCAAAACUGUUUUUCUUGAGUAGUGCAGAGGUAGGCGGAAUUCCCGGUGUAGCGGUGGAAUGCGUAGAUAUCGGGAGGAACACCAGUGGCGAAGGCGGCCUACUGGGCACCAACUGACGCUGAGGCUCGAAAGUGUGGGUAGCAAACAGGAUUAGAUACCCUGGUAGUCCACACUGUAAACGAUGAUUACUAGGUGUUGGAGGAUUGACCCCUUCAGUGCCGCAGUUAACACAAUAAGUAAUCCACCUGGGGAGUACGACCGCAAGGUUGAAACUCAAAGGAAUUGACGGGGGCCCGCACAAGCAGUGGAGUAUGUGGUUUAAUUCGACGCAACGCGAAGAACCUUACCAAGUCUUGACAUCCCUUGACGAUGCUGGAAACAGUAUUUCUCUUCGGAGCAAGGAGACAGGUGGUGCAUGGUUGUCGUCAGCUCGUGUCGUGAGAUGUUGGGUUAAGUCCCGCAACGAGCGCAACCCUUAUGGUCAGUUACUACGCAAGAGGACUCUGGCCAGACUGCCGUUGACAAAACGGAGGAAGGUGGGGAUGACGUCAAAUCAUCAUGCCCUUUAUGACUUGGGCUACACACGUACUACAAUGGCGUUAAACAAAGAGAAGCAAGACCGCGAGGUGGAGCAAAACUCAGAAACAACGUCCCAGUUCGGACUGCAGGCUGCAACUCGCCUGCACGAAGUCGGAAUUGCUAGUAAUCGCAGAUCAGCAUGCUGCGGUGAAUACGUUCCCGGGCCUUGUACACACCGCCC